UGUAGUCAUAUGCUUGUCUCAAAGAUUAAGCCAUGCAUGUCUAAGUAUAAACAACUUUAUACUGUGAAACUGCGAAUGGCUCAUUAAAUCAGUUAUAGUUUAUUUGAUAGUACUUACUACUUGGAUAACCGUGGUAAUUCUAGAGCUAAUACAUGCGAAAAGACCCGACUUCUGGAAGGGUUGUAUUUAUUAGAUAAAAAACCAAUGGGGGCAGCCUCUUUGUGGUGAUUCAUAAUAACUUUGCGGAUCGCAUGGCCUUGUGCCGGCGAUGAAUCAUUCAAAUUUCUGCCCUAUCAACUUUCGAUGGUAAGGUAUUGGCUUACCAUGGUUGCAACGGGUAACGGGGAAU
RNAcentral lists this ribosomal RNA (349 nucleotides) under uncultured fungus. Its description in RNAcentral is "SSU rRNA". It matches the Rfam family "Eukaryotic small subunit ribosomal RNA", at positions 21 to 370 of the family's 1831-position model. The record is from RNAcentral. Lineage: Eukaryota; Fungi.